UACGUAGGGGGCAAGCGUUGUCCGGAUUUAUUGGGCGUAAAGAGCGUGUAGGCGGCCAGGUAGGUCUGCUGUGAAAACUCGAGGCUCAACCUCGAGAUGUCGGCGGAAACCGUCUGGCUAGAGUCCGGAAGAGGAGAAUGGAAUUCCCGGUGUAGCGGUGAGAUGCGCAGAUAUCGGGAAGAACACCCGUGGCGAAGGCGGUUCUCUGGGACGGUACUGACGCUGAGACGCGAAAGCGUGGGGAGCGAACAGG
This 253-nucleotide ribosomal RNA is filed under the name uncultured bacterium. Its description in RNAcentral is "partial 16S ribosomal RNA". It matches the Rfam family "Bacterial small subunit ribosomal RNA", at positions 524 to 776 of the family's 1533-position model. The record is from RNAcentral.